Molecule: transfer RNA, 65 nt
Filed under: Heterocephalus glaber (naked mole-rat)
Lineage: Eukaryota; Metazoa; Chordata; Mammalia; Rodentia; Bathyergidae
Rfam family: tRNA
About the family: Transfer RNA (tRNA) molecules are approximately 80 nucleotides in length.
Source: Rfam by way of RNAcentral
GAUGUAGCACAGUGGUAGAGCAUGUGCUUGCCAUGUGCAAGGACCUAGAUUCAAUCUCUAGCAUC